RNAcentral lists this ribosomal RNA (467 nucleotides) under uncultured bacterium. RNAcentral describes it as "partial 16S ribosomal RNA". It matches the Rfam family "Bacterial small subunit ribosomal RNA", at positions 28 to 506 of the family's 1533-position model. The record is from RNAcentral.
GACGAACGCUGGCGGCGUGCUUAACACAUGCAAGUCGAACGGAAAGGCCCUGCUUUUGUGGGGUGCUCGAGUGGCGAACGGGUGAGUAACACGUGAGUAACCUGCCCUUGACUUUGGGAUAAUUUCAGGAAACUGGGGCUAAUACCGGAUAGGAGCUCCUGCUGCAUGGUGGGGGUUGGAAAGUUUCGGCGGUUGGGGAUGGACUCGCGGCUUAUCAGCUUGUUGGUGGGGUAGUGGCUUACCAAGGCUUUGACGGGUAGCCGGCCUGAGAGGGUGACCGGCCACAUUGGGACUGAGAUACGGCCCAGACUCCUACGGGAGGCAGCAGUGGGGAAUAUUGCACAAUGGGCGGAAGCCUGAUGCAGCAACGCCGCGUGCGGGAUGACGGCCUUCGGGUUGUAAACCGCUUUCGCCUGUGACGAAGCGUGAGUGACGGUAAUGGGGAAAGAAGCACCGGCUAACUACGU